Alnus glutinosa is the source of this 2534-nucleotide long non-coding RNA. RefSeq lists it as uncharacterized. The transcript has 3 exons. Lineage: Eukaryota; Viridiplantae; Streptophyta; Magnoliopsida; Fagales; Betulaceae. The record is from RefSeq and is a predicted model, not a curated record.
UUUUCCUUCUUCCUCGGUUUUUCUUUUUCUUCUUCACCAUGAACGCCGGCCGCCUCUAUCACCCCGCAGCCACCUCAUGCAGCGUUCAUGAAGGGCCGCCGUUUACCCAUAAACCGGGCGGCCCUUGACGGGAGGCGGAACGACGCCGGCCACGAAAAGGGCCGGCGCUUACUGCAUGCGGCGAAGCCAGCGAAUAGCCGGUGCUGAGGAAAUCGUCCGGUUGGCCGGGGGGUGACAGGGUGAAUUUUUCGGCAGUGGGCUUGCGAUUCUGCAAGCUUUCGGUUUAGUGCACAGUGGUUUUCAUGGUGUCUCCAGCAGGUUUAGCAUAUACAGUUAUGGAAAAAUACCCACACAUAUCAAAAUUCACUGCAAAACAGGUCCUUUGUUUUAACCUUCUUCUCAAACUUUCUCUGCAAGAAAACCUUCUGUUUUUCUUCUCUCCGGCCAAUUCCAUUUCCCACAACGAAAUGACGAAUCAGAAUAGUUUUAACUACAGUUCUUAUAAAAUUGUAGAACCUAUUCAUCUUUCUUCAUUCACAGUUAUUCCGUUGGGCAUUCCUGAUAUGCCUCCACCAGCUAAUCGAAUCUUCCAAGGCUUGGUAAGUUUGUUUUAUUUUCUCCACCAAAUAUUUAUUUUGAAGAAAAAUAUUGAUGAUCUUUAUAUAUAUAUUCGAACAGAAUUACAGACAAUGGUUGACAAAGCUAGGAGAAGACAACAAUCUAUCUAAAUGGGAGAUCUUCGAGUCAAAAAAUGGGAAGCUCGUUGGAUUGGGCAAAGGAGGAAAACGGCUCUUCCGCAUCAUUGCACAAAACCUACGGGCUCUACACAUAAGAAACGAAUAUUGUGUGGAUCUUAUAAGACGUCUGCACAUUAGAAUGCCUGGUAAUGUUGUUUAUUUUCCAUAUUUGCCACUAAGAGGUAACACUCAUAGUGGUAUAGAGAAAGAUGUUGAACACUUUCGAUUUCUGGUGGGAAGACUUCUGUUAGAGCAUAUAGGAACAAACAAUGAUACGAAUCAUCUUUUAAAAGAAAAGGUUAAAUUCAAUAGGAAGAGGAUUGUAUCAUUGUUUGUUCCUAUAUGCUCUAACAGAAGUCUUCCCACCAGAAAUCGAAAGUGUUCAACAUCUUUUUCUAAUACCACUAUGAGUGUUACUUCUUAGUGAUAAAUAUGGAAAAUAAACAACAUUACCAGGCAUUCUAAUGUGCAAAUGUCUUAUAAGAUCCUCGCAAUAUUCGUUUCUCAUGUGUAGAGCCCGUAGGUUCUGUGCAAUGAUGCGAAAGAGCCUUUUUCCUCCUUUGCCCAAUCCAACGAGCUUUCCAUUUUUUGACUUAAAAAAUCUCUCAUUUAGAUAGAUUAUUGUCUUCUCUUAGCUUUGUCAACCAUUGUUUAUAAUUCUGUUCGAAUAUAUAUAUAUAAAGAUCAUCAAUAUUUCUCUUCAAAAUCAAUAUUUGGUUGAGAAAAUAAAACAAACUUACCAAGCUUUGAAAGAUUCGAUUAGCUGAUGGAGGCAUAUUAGGAAGGCCUAACGGAACAACUGUGAAUGAAGAAAGAUGAAUAGGUUCUACAAUAUUAUAAGGCCAAAUUUAGCGGUUCAUAAUCUAGCUAGAGAGACCGCCACCCAUGGCAUAGAUUUAAUCUAGACGAAAGUCAUCCCUCCUAAUAUCUAUGAUAUUAUGGUAUUGUAUUGAGGCGACUCUCAAUCCCUUCUUGAUAUGAUUUUUUUUCUGAAGAUUUCAGUGAAUUUCCUAUUGACUAUGAAGAUUUCAAAGGCGGUGGUGGUAGUGGCAGUGGCAGUGGCGGCGGUGAUGGAGGUGGAGGCAGAGGUGGCAGCAACAGCAGCAGCACUAGUAAUAGUGCCCCCUUUAGUUAUCGUGACAUCAAUGGGAAAAGUUUGUAACUCAAGAAUGAGGCAUCUACCCAUAGGAGUUGCAUGCAACAAGAUGAAUGGUGCUUAAUUAGCUACACAUCCCUCUUCCCUUCAUGACGUGCCUCCUUAGACCCGGAAUAUGGACAUUUGUGAUGUAAUCUCUCCAAUCUAUGUUGCCCACAUCAAACCCAAAGCUGCUCUUCUCUUCUUCAGACAUGCUUUCCAUCAAUCUUUGAGUAUUGCUGUUAUCAAACCUGCACCACAGUUUGUCAUUCAGAUAAAGUUUUCACAAGAAAGGAGAUACAAAACCAUGGAGAAUCAAAAGCAUUUUGUGUUUUAAGUUGUUUGUCAACAUUUUUGUUUUAAAGAGAAAGAACAAAGAGAGAAGGCAAAACAACUCCUUUACAAUCACACCUAUUUUAUGACCGGAAAAUGUUUGGUGUACUGUAACUCCUAUACAAAGGUGCCACGUGGCACAACAUGUAGUAAAAGUUAAGUGCCACGUGGACUAUUAUCAAAUCAGUUUACAAGGAACAUGUAGUAAAAGCUAUAAUACUCCUAUCAACACUCUUUUAAGACCCUUUUUUUUUUCUUCUUCUUCCAAUAAGAUUGUGCCAAUUUUGAUCCUAAUGAGCUUCUAAAUUUUUCUCUCCUUUUGGAAAUCA